UGGGGAAUAUUGCGCAAUGGGGGGAACCCUGACGCAGCCAUGCCGCGUGAAUGAAGAAGGCCUUCGGGUUGUAAAGUUCUUUCGGUAUUGAGGGAGGUUGAUGUGUUAAUAGCACAUCAAAUUGACGUUAAAUACAGAAGAAGCACCGGCUAACUCCGUGCCAGCAGCCGCGGUAAUACGGAGGGUGCGAGCGUUAAUCGGAAUAACUGGGCGUAAAGGGCACGCAGGCGGUUAUUUAAGUGAGGUGUGAAAGCCCCGGGCUUAACCUGGGAAUUGCAUUUCAGACUGGGUAACUAGAGUACUUUAGGGAGGGGUAGAAUUCCACGUGUAGCGGUGAAAUGCGUAGAGAUGUGGAGGAAUACCGAAGGCGAAGGCAGCCCCUUGGGAAUGUACUGACGCUCAUGUGCGAAAGCGUGGGGAGCAAACAGGAUUAGAUACCCUGGUAGUCCACGCUGUAAACGCUGUCGAUUUGGGGGUUGGGGUUUAACUCUGGCGCCCGUAGCUAACGUGAUAAAUCGACCGCCUGGGGAGUACGGCCGCAAGGUUA
RNAcentral lists this ribosomal RNA (547 nucleotides) under uncultured bacterium. Its description in RNAcentral is "bacterial SSU rRNA". It matches the Rfam family "Bacterial small subunit ribosomal RNA", at positions 355 to 896 of the family's 1533-position model. The record is from RNAcentral.